AUUGAACGCUGGCGGCAUGCUUUACACAUGCAAGUCGAACGGCAGCACAGGGAGCUUGCUCCUGGGUGGCGAGUGGCGAACGGGUGAGUAAUGUAUCGGAACGUGCCUGGUAGUGGGGGAUAACUACUCGAAAGAGUGGCUAAUACCGCAUGAGAUCUUUGGAUGAAAGCGGGGGACCUUCGGGCCUCGUGCUACUGGGGCGGCCGAUAUCAGAUUAGGUUGUUGGUGGGGUAAAGGCCUACCAAGCCUGCGAUCUGUAGCUGGUCUGAGAGGACGACCAGCCACACUGGGACUGAGACACGGCCCAGACUCCUACGGGAGGCAGCAGUGGGGAAUUUUGGACAAUGGGCGCAAGCCUGAUCCAGCAAUGCCGCGUGCAGGACGAAGGCCUUCGGGUUGUAAACUGCUUUUGUACAGAACGAAAAGUCUCUGGCUAAUAUCUAGAGAUCAUGACGGUACUGUAAGAAUAAGCACCGGCUAACUACGUG
Molecule: ribosomal RNA, 488 nt
Filed under: uncultured bacterium
Lineage: Bacteria
Description: partial 16S ribosomal RNA
Rfam family: Bacterial small subunit ribosomal RNA
Source: RNAcentral